UACGGGGGGGGCAAGCGUUGUUCGGAAUUACUGGGCGUAAAGGGCUCGUAGGUGGCCAACUAAGUCAGACGUGAAAUCCCUCGGCUUAACCGGGGAACUGCGUCUGAUACUGGAUGGCUUGAGUUUGGGAGAGGGAUGCGGAAUUCCAGGUGUAGCGGUGAAAUGCGUAGAUAUCUGGAGGAACACCGGUGGCGGAGGCGGCAUCCUGGACCAACACUGACACUGAGGAGCGAAAGCCAGGGGAGCAAACGGG
Molecule: ribosomal RNA, 253 nt
Filed under: uncultured bacterium
Lineage: Bacteria
Description: partial 16S ribosomal RNA
Rfam family: Bacterial small subunit ribosomal RNA
Source: RNAcentral